AUGUUUGUCCCUGUCUGGAUUUCAGGUAGCACAAAUCCCAGCAUAGCACAACAGGUAUGGAGGAACUUUUCCUUGAAGUUCCUCAAGCCGCGCCGGCCAGGGACGAAGCCCCGAUCAAAGCCAUCAGAACUACAGGCAAAUAGUCUCAAGGCUCAGAACCCAACACAUGCAGAGCCACAGGGAAGGCAGCAGCUCCACGAGUCCAUGAGAGGAACAGAGAUGACUGGUAACACAAUGAUUUCCACCUCCCACCAUCAGGAGCAGGCUAAGCCUCAGGCCAGCCAAGCAGACCCUACUGCACCAGCAUUGCUAUCCCAAGCUCCAGGCAGCUCCUGCUGCUCUCAUAGGCCUUUGGCAGUGAGCUCACAGACACACCAGACCGAAAGCACAGGACAGCAGCCGCUGCUCUUUAUCUUCAAGCAGCAAAUGCCCCCCCCUGCCAUGGCUGCUGGGGGUCCUGCAGAGCUGAAGCGUUCGGCACCUUUAGAAAUGGAAAUAGUGCCACAGUGCACCCAGCCAGCAUCCAUCUCCAUGCAGCUGACCCCACAAGGGAAUUCUGUCCAGCAGUGUUCGCAGCCCCCAGCUCUGCAAAAUAAGGGCAAGUCGGCUCCAGUCACCUGCCAGCCUUCCAGGGUCAGGCAAGUGCCAGUGGGAGCCAGCGUUUCCCCUCCCUGCCUGGAGAUCAUCUCGCUGAAGGAAGGCUUUGCCAUCAAAACCUUUCCCAGGUGCAGCCAAAGCUGUUCGCCUGCAGACCCCAACAGAGCCCACACUGAGCCUCUGCCAAGGGUUACCAAGGCACAGAGCACUCCUGCGAGAAGCCGAGCACCAAGGUCUGUGCCCCUGGUAAGGCUGAAAGGAGGAAUGAAAUCUGGGUUUCCCCAGGGGCAACCCUCACCUACUGCAGUGGUGUCUGGGUGGGAGGGUGACACGUGCCCCAGAUCCUCUACCCAGGGAACCGCAUCCCAGAGAGCCUCAAAUGCCAGCUCCCCAAAUGAUAUCUAA
Molecule: long non-coding RNA, 1002 nt
Filed under: Coturnix japonica (Japanese quail)
Lineage: Eukaryota; Metazoa; Chordata; Aves; Galliformes; Phasianidae
Description: lncRNA (ENSCJPG00005016481.1)
Source: RNAcentral